GAAAAAAAAUGUAAUUUCCAUGGGACAUCUGUCUGUAGAGGUGCAUGAGCUGACAUACAGGCUAUUUAACCUUCAGUUUCUUCAACAAGGAUUAAAAAAUGAGGCCAUGAGGAAACACAUUCUACCAAUCAAGCAUGAUUUUGUGUGAUUCCUUUAGAUAAAACAUAAGAUUAAAGCAGCCCCAUGACGUUCUUGUCACGGCGAGCAGGUGGACCCGAGCAGAAAGCCACACUACCAAGGCUGGCUGAAUGAAAGUGAUUUAUUGUUGGGGGGGUGAAUAAUGG
This is a long non-coding RNA of Acanthochromis polyacanthus (spiny chromis), 284 nucleotides long. RefSeq lists it as uncharacterized. The record is from RefSeq and is a predicted model, not a curated record. NCBI's taxonomy places the organism in Eukaryota, Metazoa, Chordata, Actinopteri, Pomacentridae. The transcript has 3 exons.